GUAUACCAGGCAUAUAGCCCCUUAAAAUACCGUUACGGAUUGGAGCACAGAGAGAUGUGCAAAUUAUUGAUGCAAAGGGUUUUCGCACACAUGGAUAGUUGUCAAGGUCACGAAGGAGAAGAAGGGUGUCGUUUGGUGCCAGAGAGCGCGUGCCAGGUCUGCUGUACUGACGAUGGCUGUAAUUAUGGUUCGUGCCAGGAAAUUAGAGAGAACCUUUUCCGACUGUACAAGCAUGGCCGCUUCGAUCUACACACUCUACAAAUAACGAAACCGAACUGAACUGUAUCAUAAUAAUGAUAGUGUAAUGGGUG
Mya arenaria is the source of this 311-nucleotide long non-coding RNA. RefSeq lists it as uncharacterized. Lineage: Eukaryota; Metazoa; Mollusca; Bivalvia; Myida; Myidae. The record is from RefSeq and is a predicted model, not a curated record. The transcript has 3 exons.